RNAcentral lists this ribosomal RNA (546 nucleotides) under uncultured Glomus. RNAcentral describes it as "SSU rRNA". It matches the Rfam family "Eukaryotic small subunit ribosomal RNA", at positions 548 to 1098 of the family's 1831-position model. The record is from RNAcentral. Lineage: Eukaryota; Fungi; Glomeromycota; Glomeromycetes; Glomerales; Glomeraceae.
UUGGAGGGCAAGUCUGGUGCCAGCAGCCGCGGUAAUUCCAGCUCCAAUAGCGUAUAUUAAGGUUGUUGCAGUUAAAAAGCUCGUAGUUGAAUUUCGGGAUUAGUACGUCGGUCGUGCCUUAGGUACGUACUGGUGUUACUGGUUCCUACCUUCUGACGAACCAUCAUGUCAUUAAUUUGGUGUGGUGGGGAAUCAGGACUGUUACUUUGAAAAAAUUAGAGUGUUUAAAGCAGGCUCGCGCUUGAAUACAUUAGCAUGGAAUAAUGAAAUAGGACGUUGAUCCUAUUUUGUUGGUUUCUAGGAUUGACGUAAUGAUUAAUAGGGAUAGUUGGGGGCAUUAGUAUUCAAUUGUCAGAGGUGAAAUUCUUGGAUUUAUUGAAGACUAACUACUGCGAAAGCAUUUGCCAAGGAUGUUUUCAUUAAUCAAGAACGAAAGUUAGGGGAUCGAAGACGAUCAGAUACCGUCGUAGUCUUAACCAUAAACUAUGCCGACUAGGGAUCGGAUGAUGUUAUUUUUAAUGACUCAUUCGGCGCCUUACGGGAAAC